AUUGAACGCUGGCGGCAUGCCUUACACAUGCAAGUCGAACGGCAGCGGACCUUCGGGUGCCGGCGAGUGGCGAACGGGUGAGUAAUAUAUCGGAACGUACCUUUCAGUGGGGGAUAACGUAGCGAAAGUUACGCUAAUACCGCAUAUUCUGUGAGCAGGAAAGCAGGGGAUCGCAAGACCUUGCGCUGAUUGAGCGGCCGAUAUCAGAUUAGCUAGUUGGUGAGGUAAAGGCUCACCAAGGCGACGAUCCUGUAGCGGGUCUGAGAGGAUGAUCCGCCACACUAGGAACUGAGACACGGUCCAGACUCCGUACGGGAGGCAG
RNAcentral lists this ribosomal RNA (322 nucleotides) under uncultured bacterium. RNAcentral describes it as "bacterial SSU rRNA". It matches the Rfam family "Bacterial small subunit ribosomal RNA", at positions 30 to 351 of the family's 1533-position model. The record is from RNAcentral.